This 394-nucleotide ribosomal RNA is filed under the name uncultured bacterium. RNAcentral's name for it is "bacterial SSU rRNA". It matches the Rfam family "Bacterial small subunit ribosomal RNA", at positions 29 to 416 of the family's 1533-position model. The record is from RNAcentral.
AUUGAACGCUGGCGGCAUGCCUAACACAUGCAAGUCGAACGGCAGCACGUUGUGUAGCAAUACACAUGGGUGGCGAGUGGCGGACGGGUGAGUAGAAAGUAGGGAUCUGCCUUGUAGAUUGGGAUAACUUGGGGAAACUCGAGCUAAUACCGGAUAAGCACUAAGGUGGAAAGCAUGGGACCGAAAGGCCAUGCGCUAUAAGAUGAACCUACGUCGGAUUAGCUAGUUGGUUAGGUAAAGGCUGACCAAGGCGAAGAUCCGUAGCUGGUCUGAGAGGAUGAUCAGCCACACUGGGACUGAGACACGGCCCAGACUCCUACGGGAGGCAGCAGUGGGGAAUAUUGGACAAUGGGGGAAAGCCUGACGCAGCGACGCCGCGUGGGUGAUGAAGGCC